This is a non-coding RNA of Halenospora varia, 108 nucleotides long. The record is from the annotation of a GenBank genome assembly. Lineage: Eukaryota; Fungi; Ascomycota; Leotiomycetes; Helotiales; Solenopeziaceae.
GGCCUGAUAGUUCAGUGGUAGAAUUCUUGCUUUGGGUUAAAGAGCUUCAUACAAGUUCUCUCUCAUCUCAAUUGUAAGAGGUCUCCGGUUCGAUCCCGGAUUAGGCCC